UACGUAGGGUGCGAGCGUUGUCCGGAAUUAUUGGGCGUAAAGGGCUCGUAGGCGGUCUGUCGCGUCGAAAGUGAAAACCCAGGGCUUAACCCUGGGCCUGCUUCCGAUACGGGCAGACUAGAGGUAUGCAGGGGAGAACGGAAUUCCUGGUGUAGCGGUGAAAUGCGCAGAUAUCAGGAGGAACACCGGUGGCGAAGGCAGCUCACUAAACUGUAACUGACGCUGAGGCACGAAAGCGUGGGGAGCAAACAGG
RNAcentral lists this ribosomal RNA (253 nucleotides) under uncultured bacterium. Its description in RNAcentral is "partial 16S ribosomal RNA". It matches the Rfam family "Bacterial small subunit ribosomal RNA", at positions 524 to 776 of the family's 1533-position model. The record is from RNAcentral.